GCUCAGGACGAACGCUGGCGGCGUGCCUAAUACAUGCAAGUCGAACGCUUCUUUUUCCACCGGAGCUUGCUCCACCGGAAAAAGAGGAGUGGCGAACGGGUGAGUAACACGUGGGUAACCUGCCCAUCAGAAGGGGAUAACACUUGGAAACAGGUGCUAAUACCGUAUAACAAUCGAAACCGCAUGGUUUUGAUUUGAAAGGCGCUUUCGGGUGUCGCUGAUGGAUGGACCCGCGGUGCAUUAGCUAGUUGGUGAGGUAACGGCUCACCAAGGCCACGAUGCAUAGCCGACCUGAGAGGGUGAUCGGCCACAUUGGGACUGAGACACGGCCCAAACUCCUACGGGAGGCAGCAGUAGGGAAUCUUCGGCAAUGGACGAAAGUCUGACCGAGCAACGCCGCGUGAGUGAAGAAGGUUUUCGGAUCGUAAAACUCUGUUGUUAGAGAAGAACAAGGAUGAGAGUAACUGUUCAUCCCUUGACGGUAUCUAACCAGAAAGCCACGGCUAACUACUGG
Molecule: ribosomal RNA, 514 nt
Filed under: Enterococcus faecium
Lineage: Bacteria; Bacillati; Bacillota; Bacilli; Lactobacillales; Enterococcaceae
Description: bacterial SSU rRNA
Rfam family: Bacterial small subunit ribosomal RNA
Source: RNAcentral